GACGAACGCUGGCGGCGUGCUUAACACAUGCAAGUCGAACGGAAAGGCCCUGCUUUUGUGGGGUGCUCGAGUGGCGAACGUGUGAGUAACACGUGAGUAACCUUCCCUUGACUUUGUGAUAACUUCAGGAAACUGGUGCUAAUACCUGAUAGGAGCUCCUGCUGCAUGGUGGGGUUUGGAAAGUUUCGGCGGUUGGGGAUGGACUCGCGGCUUAUCAGCUUGUUGGUGGGGUAGUGGCUUACCAAGGCUUUGACGGGUAGCCGGCCUGAGAGGGUGACCGGCGACAUUGGGACUGAGAUACGGCCCAGACUCCUACGGGAGGCAGCAGUGGGGAAUAUUGCACAAUGGGCGGAAGCCUGAUGCAGAAACGCCGCGUGCGGGAUGACGGCCUUCGGGUUGUAAACCGCUUUAGCCUGUGACGAAGCGUGAGUGACGGUAAUGGGUAAAGAAGCACCGGCUAACUACGUG
RNAcentral lists this ribosomal RNA (468 nucleotides) under uncultured bacterium. RNAcentral's name for it is "partial 16S ribosomal RNA". It matches the Rfam family "Bacterial small subunit ribosomal RNA", at positions 28 to 507 of the family's 1533-position model. The record is from RNAcentral.